GUGAUGUGGGAUUGAACCCUGGU
Molecule: non-coding RNA, 23 nt
Filed under: Cricetulus griseus (Chinese hamster)
Lineage: Eukaryota; Metazoa; Chordata; Mammalia; Rodentia; Cricetidae
Source: RNAcentral